AGUGGGGUGCCUGACAAAAAGGAUCAUUUUGAUAGAAUGAAUCAUGUAAUUUUCCCAUUACCCCCACUG
RNAcentral lists this transfer RNA (69 nucleotides) under Oryzaephilus surinamensis (saw-toothed grain beetle). RNAcentral's name for it is "tRNA-Ile". The record is from RNAcentral. Lineage: Eukaryota; Metazoa; Arthropoda; Insecta; Coleoptera; Silvanidae.